This is an RNA transcript of Pan troglodytes (chimpanzee), 4371 nucleotides long. It is a transcript of the gene named epidermal growth factor receptor pathway substrate 15 like 1, with no coding region annotated. The record is from RefSeq and is a predicted model, not a curated record. Lineage: Eukaryota; Metazoa; Chordata; Mammalia; Primates; Hominidae. The transcript has 22 exons.
UCCCAGUGCGCACGCGUGGCUGCAGCCCCGCCCCCGUUCCCCCGGCGCUCGGAGCCCGAGUCCGCGGGAAGAUGGCGGCGCCGCUCAUCCCCCUCUCCCAGCAGAUUCCCACUGGAAAUUCGUUGUAUGAAUCUUAUUACAAGCAGGUCGAUCCGGCACACACAGGGAGGGUGGGGGCGAGUGAAGCUGCGCUUUUUCUAAAGAAGUCUGGCCUCUCGGACAUUAUCCUUGGGAAGAUAUGGGACUUGGCCGAUCCAGAAGGUAAAGGGUUCUUGGACAAACAGGGUUUCUAUGUUGCACUGAGACUGGUGGCCUGUGCACAGAGUGGCCAUGAAGUUACCUUGAGCAAUCUGAAUUUGAGCAUGCCACCGCCUAAAUUUCACGACACCAGCAGCCCUCUGAUGGUCACACCGCCCUCUGCAGAGGCCCACUGGGCUGUGAGGGUGGAAGAAAAGGCCAAAUUUGAUGGGAUUUUUGAAAGCCUCUUGCCCAUCAAUGGUUUGCUCUCUGGAGACAAAGUCAAGCCAGUCCUCAUGAACUCAAAGCUGCCUCUUGAUGUCCUGGGCAGGGUCUGGGACCUCAGUGACAUUGACAAGGAUGGGCACUUGGAUCGAGAUGAGUUUGCUGUGGCCAUGCACUUGGUGUACCGAGCCCUGGAGAAGGAGCCCGUGCCCUCCGCCCUGCCCCCGUCCCUCAUCCCACCCUCCAAGAGAAAGAAGACUGUGUUCCCUGGCGCCGUCCCUGUCCUGCCCGCCAGCCCCCCACCAAAAGACAGCCUCCGCUCCACGCCGUCCCACGGCAGCGUCAGCAGCCUCAACAGCACAGGGAGCCUGUCCCCCAAGCACAGCCUCAAGCAAACACAGCCAACAGUGAACUGGGUGGUGCCUGUGGCAGACAAGAUGCGAUUUGAUGAGAUAUUCCUGAAGACCGACCUGGACCUGGAUGGCUACGUGAGUGGCCAGGAGGUGAAGGAGAUCUUCAUGCACUCGGGCCUCACCCAGAACCUUCUAGCACACAUAUGGGCCCUGGCCGAUACGAGGCAAACGGGGAAGUUAAGCAAAGACCAAUUCGCGUUAGCUAUGUAUUUCAUUCAGCAGAAGGUCAGUAAAGGCAUCGACCCUCCUCAAGUCCUCUCGCCGGACAUGGUCCCGCCUUCGGAGAGAGGCACGCCCGGCCCGGACAGUUCAGGCUCUCUCAGCUCCGGGGAGUUUACUGGCGUGAAGGAGCUUGAUGACAUCAGUCAAGAGAUCGCCCAGUUACAAAGAGAGAAAUAUUCACUGGAACAAGACAUUCGAGAAAAGGAAGAGGCAAUCAGACAGAAAACCAGCGAGGUGCAGGAAUUACAAAAUGACCUAGACCGCGAAACAAGCAGUUUGCAGGAGCUCGAGGCUCAGAAACAGGAUGCUCAAGACCGCCUGGACGAGAUGGACCAGCAGAAGGCCAAGCUCCGAGACAUGCUGAGCGACGUCCGGCAGAAGUGCCAGGAUGAGACUCAGAUGAUCUCAUCAUUGAAAACGCAAAUCCAAUCUCAGGAAUCUGACUUAAAGUCCCAGGAAGAUGAUCUGAACCGAGCCAAGUCGGAGCUGAACCGAUUGCAGCAGGAGGAAACCCAGCUGGAGCAGAGCAUUCAGGCUGGGCGAGUCCAGCUGGAAACCAUCAUCAAGUCCCUGAAGUCAACGCAAGACGAAAUCAACCAGGCAAGGAGCAAACUUUCCCAGCUGCAUGAAAGCCGCCAGGAGGCCCACAGGAGCCUGGAGCAGUAUGACCAGGUGCUCGACGGAGCCCAUGGUGCCAGCCUGACCGACCUGGCCAACCUGAGCGAAGGCGUCUCCCUGGCAGAGAGAGGCAGUUUUGGAGCCAUGGAUGAUCCUUUCAAAAAUAAAGCCUUGUUAUUUAGCAACAACACGCAAGAGUUGCAUCCGGAUCCUUUCCAGACAGAAGACCCCUUCAAAUCUGACCCAUUUAAAGGAGCUGACCCCUUCAAAGGCGACCCGUUCCAGAAUGACCCCUUUGCAGAACAGCAGACAACUUCAACAGAUCCAUUUGGAGGGGAUCCUUUCAAAGAAAGUGACCCAUUCCGUGGCUCUGCCACUGACGACUUCUUCAAGAAACAGACAAAGAAUGACCCAUUUACCUCGGAUCCAUUCACGAAAAACCCUUCCUUACCUUCGAAGCUCGACCCCUUUGAAUCCAGUGAUCCCUUUUCAUCCUCCAGUGUCUCCUCAAAAGGAUCAGAUCCCUUUGGAACCUUAGAUCCCUUCGGAAGUGGGUCCUUCAAUAGUGCUGAAGGCUUUGCCGACUUCAGCCAGAUGUCCAAGGUAAAGCCCCUCCACGGAGCCCCCGCGCCUCUGCUAGUGUCUUUGUGCCUCUUGUCAUGGUGUGGGCUGCCAGGCGUAAUUGUUCAUGUCACGUAUGUAUCUCCCCGGCACCUUUACAACACAAGGUCAGGUCUGGAAAGCAUCCAUGGCUGUGAUCCAAUGCACUGCAGUCCCGCGGGGUGAGCCCUGACCCUUCCCAGUGGCAUAGGUGCCCUGGGCUCCCCUGGCUCCCACUGGUGUCUGACGACCAUCAGGUCUCAGACGGUGAAGUCAUUGCCAUGGCCAAGUAGAAACUUGAGAAGGCGUUGGGCACAGGCGUCUCGAGAGGGCCAUGGGCAGCAGGCCUGCAGGUGCGAGGCGUCCAGGGAAAGUGGGCCAGCGAGUGUUCAGAGUCGCCCAUGUGACAGAACUCUCAAGGGGUGUUGAAAAGUGAGGGCCGGCCUCCGUGAAUAAAUGCAGACAGAUCCACAGGUGAGGAGUGAACUGUUGAAGGAGGACAGCAGCGAGGCUGGUUACCAGACUGGACCCGUCGGUGUCCGGCCCUCACCACACGGUGACCUGAACUCACUGUGGCUCUGGUCCCAGAUGGCUGUAGGGCUUCUCCAGACGCUGGCAGUGUGGUUGGAGCUCAUCUUUAAGGUAGCAUAGAGAAUUCUACAGGGAACAUCCAGAAUGGACAAGUCAAAAAACAACAAUAGAAGCCCCUUACGACUGAGGUGCCUUCCGGAAGAAACUGCUGGAAAGUUGGAAAUGGGGGCCGUGGAAUGAAGGAAAGCAGAUGAGGUGUGUCCCGUCCCUGACACCUGCGUCCACUCUGUCCCUUCUCGGCAGCCCCCAGGCAGGGGCAGAUGGGCUCUGUCUUCGGGGGGCUGCAGGGGCCUGCUUUCCUCACGAGUUCCACCUGCAGAGGCCCAGGCAUUAUCCACGCUGCGGGAAGAGGCAGUGGCCACAAGCAGAACACAGCCCCCCUCCUGGAGCCCAUGGCCCAGGUGGUAAGGGGUGGCCGGUGUGGGGGGUCCCCUGGAGCAGCUGGGCCCAGUCCCUGUGAGCGCUGCUGUCAGCCUGAAGGUGGUGAGGGGAGGGAGCCCCGGGAGUACCUGGAAGACGCGUGCCCCAGGCAUGAGGCCCCCUCGGGGCCCCACCGACCCCAUGCCCAGGUGCCCCAGGUGCCAGUGUGACUGGGCAGCCUCCCUUGGCUGCCCCGUGUUCACUCAGCUGGUGGAGCAGAUGAGUGUCUGAGCAUCUUGGGGUUGGCAGCGGUCGCAACUUGUGAUCACAGAACACAGAUUCCGAGAAGCACUUGAGAUUCUGUUCAGGUUUUCAAAGACGCGUGUGUGCAUGCCCUGGCGGCGCAGCAGAUCCCACUUCUGACCGAGGCAGGGUGUGUGUUUACACAGAUGAGCCUGGGCAGAGGGAGCCCAGAGGCCCUGGCAUGGCGCCCCCCUCCUUACAGCACACGGAGAAGGCCUCCAUCCCUCAUAUGCCAUGCUGUGACACGGUUUGGGACUGGCAGAAGAUUUAGGGCCCAGUGCACAGGCUCCUGGGCAGGCGGGAAACCAUCUCCCGAAAGCAGAAAACGUUGGCCACACGGUGGCAGCAGUCCCUAAGGCAGGCGUCCUGGUCGUUUCUGGUUGUUGCAAGUGGACUCCUCUUCCUUUGGGAGGCUGGAUCUGUCUUCCUCCUCUCACUGUGAGCAGAGGGAGCGAGAGCUAGCAGAGCCUGAGCUAGGGCCGGGAUCUAAUGACCGCCCUCUGCCUGUCCUUGGGCCCUGAAACCAGGGGCUCUUCACACACAUGCAGCUGUGAUUUCAGAGCCGGUCUCACUUCCUAUUGGCGGUGCCGGGCCAGGACAGAGUUGGACAGAGCUGUGGAAAAUGGGUCUCCAAUACUAUCUUGUUUUGAUUCCAGCGUUCCAUCAGCUGCCUUCAUGACACUUGUACAGCCGCAUUCUGAGCUCAACCCUGACCUUGCAGCUCUGUUUUUCCUUUUUGGUUACCUAUCUGUUUUUCAAGAACAACAUUGUGGAUAUAAAUAAAAUGCUAAGGGAAAUGAAA